This 140-nucleotide ribosomal RNA is filed under the name uncultured eukaryote. RNAcentral describes it as "partial 18S ribosomal RNA". It matches the Rfam family "Eukaryotic small subunit ribosomal RNA", at positions 1299 to 1458 of the family's 1831-position model. The record is from RNAcentral.
CCGUGGAGUGAUUUGUCUGGUUUAUUCCGUUAACGGGCGAGACCGCAGCCUGCUAAAUAGUUUGACUCACUGCGAGUGGGUUUGAACUUCUUAGAGGGACAACUCCGGUCAUAACCGGGAGGAAGUUUGCGGCAAUAACA